CGAAGAAGGCCUUCGGGUUGUAAAGCUCUGUUGCUCGGGGAGAGCGGCAUGGGGGAUGGAAAGCCCCAUGCGAGACGGUACCGAGUGAGGAAGCCCCGGCUAACUACGUGCCAGCAGCCGCGGUAAAACGUAGGGGGCGAGCGUUGUCCGGAAUCACUGGGCGUAAAGGGUGCGUAGGCGGUCGAGCAAGUCUGGAGUGAAAGUCCAUGGCUCAACCAUGGGAUGGCUUUGGAAACUGCUUGACUUGAGUGCUGGAGAGGCAAGGGGAAUUCCACGUGUAGCGGUGAAAUGCGUAGAGAUGUGGAGGAAUACCAGUGGCGAAGGCGCCUUGCUGGACAGUGACUGACGCUGAGGCACGAAAGCGUGGGGAGCAAACA
RNAcentral lists this ribosomal RNA (377 nucleotides) under uncultured bacterium. RNAcentral's name for it is "bacterial SSU rRNA". It matches the Rfam family "Bacterial small subunit ribosomal RNA", at positions 406 to 774 of the family's 1533-position model. The record is from RNAcentral.